CCCCGCCCUGGCAGGAGGGCACCCGCCGGCAGCUGAAAGUGCCUGCAGCCCCACCAGCCCCGCUCACACCCGCUCUCACCCACUCCCUUACUCCAGCUUUGCUCCAGCUCCACUUCCACCUCUUCCUGUUUCCCCCAUGCUGGACUCCGAUUGGCUGAGAGAGACGUCAUUCAAAUCCACUCCAUGUUUCUCUUUCCAGCCAAUAGGAGUGCAGCACUGUGGGCGUUGCCAUGGAAGCAGUGAAGCCUCCUGCCCUGGCAGCCAGCUCUGCCCCCUGCCCCUGUGGUCAAUCGCCAUCUUGUGGGCGGCAUCACGGAGCAUCGCGAGGCGUCGUGGAGCCUCGGGGCAGCGUGGCCCCGUGUGCCCGGGCACUGCGGGGCCCCGGGGCGUGGCUGCUCCCCCGCCGGGGUUGGGCUCUGCCGCGGGGGCCCCGCAGGGCUCCUGGCUGCCCUGUGCCCGGGGACGGUGGGGGGCACGAGGGAGCAGCCCUGGGGCCUGUGCUGGUGCCGGCCCUGGCGUUGGCGUGGGGGCCCUGGACAUGGCCAUGGGUGCUGGAGCCCGUGGGCAGCAUCCUGCUGCCCCCAGGGCAGGGCAGGGCAGGGCCCUGUUGCCCCUGGGGCCCCGACCCCCUGCCCGCAGCUGUCCCAGGGCUCGGCAGUCCUCGCGCUGCACCCGGCAAGGCUGGGCCGCGGCCAGGCAGAGGCUGCUCUUUGCAGGGCCAGGCCGGGCCCCGGCGCAUCGCUGCAGAGGGCUGAGGAGCCCCAGGGGCACAGGGCAGCCAGGGGCAGAGCAGCUCUGGACCUGCUGGUGCUGGGCAGCAGAGGUGUAUGGCUGGGAGGGGGCUGGGGGAGAUGGCGCUGCUGGACUGCCCCCAGCACUGCCCCCCAUGGAUCAGAGGAAAAUGCUUGGGGUCAGCAGGGACUUGUGGGGUGGCCGUGGCACCCCCACCUGUUCCCAAGCUGCUCUCCCAAACAGGCUGUCUUUUGGGUGCAGAGGUUGGACCCCCAUUUGCAGGAGGACAGGGUCUGUGGCCAUCUGAGGACAAGAUCUCUGAGCCUAAACCAUGCUCUGCCAAGUUGGAAGCAUAAAAGGAUCCACAUGGAGGGAGCAGAGGUUCUCCGAAAGGAGCAGAAACCUUGGGGUUAUUACAGGUGAAGGUUUCAUUUCCCAUAUGGGCAUUUCCA
RNAcentral lists this long non-coding RNA (1184 nucleotides) under Apteryx haastii (Great spotted kiwi). Its description in RNAcentral is "lncRNA (ENSAHAG00000016349.1)". The record is from RNAcentral. Lineage: Eukaryota; Metazoa; Chordata; Aves; Apterygiformes; Apterygidae.